This is a long non-coding RNA of Mauremys reevesii (Reeves's turtle), 976 nucleotides long. RefSeq lists it as uncharacterized. The record is from RefSeq and is a predicted model, not a curated record. Lineage: Eukaryota; Metazoa; Chordata; Testudines; Geoemydidae. The transcript is spliced from 4 exons.
UGCUUUCAGCAGUCUUCCUUCUUGGGCAGGGAGGCAAUGGAAAAGAGCCCUGAUUGACUUACUUCCCAGCCUUAAGUAGGAUUUACAUAAGGCGGGAAUCCUUUGUUUCCAGUGGAAAAAUACCAGCAGUGUCCAAGGUGGUACUCCGUAUUAGAUGACAUCAUCAGGUGACCCUGCAGUGUCAAAACAACAUCCCAGGAAGCUCCUCAGGAAGGAUUUUGCUGCACACAGACUCCGUGCUUGCGAGAGGGGAAGGCGCCCGGAAGGUGCCCAGUAUCGGAGAAGGAUAUUCUAAGUAAUGCUGGAUAUUCCCAGUAACUCUACUUCACCUGGGAACAAACACCAGCAGGGAAGGCGCCUAGGAAGACAACAGGCGGGUACACGGGCAUCUCUCACUGAAUGAAUGGAACCAAGACUAACAAGAUCAAACCCAUCCUGAAAUGUCGUCUUGUGGCAGAAAUACACCUGUGAUGUUAAAAUCAUUGUUUAAAAGAUAAUAAAUUAUGAAAAGUGAUCACCAGAGAUACAUCAAUCCUCACUCUCCUCCUUUUUCAGCAGUAAUCAGGCCAGCGGCUAAUGCCAUUUGCAAAUGCAGCUCUUCAAUAAUGAUACUGUAGGGAACCCCAAGUGUGUAUUUCAUGUGUUCAUUAAGAUAAGUUGGUUUCUGACUGGCCAGGAUGAUGUCCCACUCUUUCUUGGGGCUUGUUCCUGCACCAUUAAAAUUAAUGGGAAUUUUUCCAUUGACUUGAAUGGGAGCAGGAUCAAGUCGUUAUGGAGGAUCAAUAUUAAUAAGAUACAUAUUUUCCACUUUUCGCUACGGUGGGCCCUGCCUCCUUCCUCUCCUCUUCCCUCAUGUUCCCACCCCCCGGGCUCCCCGUCCAGGGCAGAUGGAGGUGGAGGGUCCACCCUGGCUCCCCACAGCUGCCUGCGCGGCUCUUGUCCUGAGCCAACUCCAGCUGAGGGGCAGGGUCCUGGA